RNAcentral lists this ribosomal RNA (419 nucleotides) under bacterium. Its description in RNAcentral is "partial 16S ribosomal RNA". It matches the Rfam family "Bacterial small subunit ribosomal RNA", at positions 355 to 776 of the family's 1533-position model. The record is from RNAcentral.
UGGGGGAUAUUGCACAAUGGGCGAAAGCCUGAUGCAGCGACGCCGCGUGGGGGAUGAAGGACUUCGGGUUGUAAACUUCUUUUGCUCUGAACAAGGCGCACCAUGGGGUGUGUUGAGUGUAGGGGUUGAUUAGCGCCGGCUAACUACGUGCUAGCAGCCGCGGUAAUACGUAGGGCGCGAGCGUUGUCCGGAAUUAUUGGGCGUAAAGGGCUUGUAGGUGGCUGGUUGCGUCUGUCGUGAAAGCUCAUGGCUUAACUGUGGGUUUGCGGUGGGUACGGGCUGGCUUGAGUGCAGUAGGGGAGGCUGGAAUUCCUGGUGUAGCGGUGGAAUGCGCAGAUAUCAGGAGGAAUACCGGUGGCGAAGGCGGGUCUCUGGGCUGUUACUGACACUGAGGAGCGAAAGCAUGGGGAGCGAACAGG